GUCCCCAUCGUCUAGUCAGGUCCAGGACACUGGGUUUUCAUCCCAGCAACGCCGGUUCAAAUCCGACUGGGGACG
RNAcentral lists this transfer RNA (75 nucleotides) under Desulfocapsa sulfexigens DSM 10523. It matches the Rfam family "tRNA". Rfam says of the family: Transfer RNA (tRNA) molecules are approximately 80 nucleotides in length. The record is from Rfam by way of RNAcentral. Lineage: Bacteria; Pseudomonadati; Thermodesulfobacteriota; Desulfobulbia; Desulfobulbales; Desulfocapsaceae.